This is an RNA transcript of Populus nigra (black poplar), 1735 nucleotides long. It is a transcript of the gene named GATA transcription factor 5-like, with no coding region annotated. NCBI's taxonomy places the organism in Eukaryota, Viridiplantae, Streptophyta, Magnoliopsida, Malpighiales, Salicaceae. The transcript is spliced from 3 exons. The record is from RefSeq and is a predicted model, not a curated record.
UGUCAAGUAUAAAUAAACCCCCUUUAUGUCUCCUUUCCUCUCCUCUGUCCUGUUUUUGCUAUCAAGUUUUUAAAUUUCUGGGUUUUGUUUUGUGUGUCUUCUUUCUUUCUUUUUUUUUUAGGUUCAAGAAACAAGAAAUGGAACGUGUUGAAGGCGCUUUGAAGACCAGUUUUAGAAAAGAAAUGGCCGUGAAAUUGAGCCCACAAGUGCUAGAUGAUUUUUGGCCAGUUAAUGUUACGAACGGCAUGUCCUCCGAUGAUUUUUCUGUUGACGAACUCUUAGACUUUUCUAAUGAAAACGGCUUCAUUGAAGAUGAAGAAAAACCUUGUGUUGUCUCUGUUUCUCAUAAACAAGAAACCCUCAAAGAAGACAAAAAUAACGACAGGAGUCCUUAUUUUGCUGUCAAAGAAGACUUUGUUUCUGGUCCUACAAGUGAACUUUGUGUGCCGACGGAUGAUUUAGCAAGUCUUGAAUGGUUGUCACAUUUUGUGGAGGAUUCCAACUCGGAAUAUGCUGCACCGUUUCCGGCAAUUGUUUCGCCGCCGGAGCCGGAAAAGGAGAAUUUUGCUGAACAGGAGAAGUCGGUCCUAACAGAGCCUUGUUUCAAGACCCCGGUUCCGGCCAAGGCUAGAAGCAAGAGAACAAGAACUGGUGUCAGAGUCUGGCCACUUGGGUCUCCUACUUUAACAGAAUCAUCUACAAGUUCUUCCUCUUCAACAUCCUCUUCAAGCCCUUCAAGUCCUUGGUUAAUUCACACCAAACCCCUUUUGAAUGCUGAACCGCUUUGGUUUGAGAAACCGGUAGUUAAGAGGAUGAAGAAAAAACCAUCUUUUCAGGCGGCGGCAAGCGGUGGUGGUGGUUCCCACUCGUCAAGGAGGUGUAGCCAUUGUGGGAUUCAAAAGACGCCACAAUGGAGAGCCGGUCCAAAUGGUUCCAAAACCCUUUGUAAUGCUUGUGGGGUUCGAUACAAGUCCGGUCGGUUACUGCCCGAGUACAGACCGGCUUGCAGCCCAACUUUUUCGAAGGAGUUGCACUCGAAUCAUCAUCGCAAGGUGCUUGAAAUGCGAAGGAAAAAGGAGAUUUUGGGCCAGACCGAACCAGGUCUGGUUCAACCCGUGGCUCCGAGUUGUGGAUAGUCUAGAGAAAGACCGGGUAUCUGGGGAAGAGAGGAUAGGGUAUUGAACCGGGAGAAUUGAACCCGGUUUCUAAUUAGGUUCGGUUUUACUAGUGCACAUUUUUUCUUCUCAGGGUGGUUGAGUUCACCUAAUGAUGGGAGUUCUAUGUAUAUAUAUUUUUUAUUCAUUCGUUUAAGGUCACGCCGGAUAUUUUCCGUCUGCAAGGAAGAUAGUCUUCAUGAGGGAGGGGGGUGGAAAGUGGAAACCGUUCACUUAAAUAUUUUUCUUCUGAUGGCCGGUGGAAAGCAAGAACAGCAUGAAGCAAGAUGGUGGUGUCCCAUGUCCAGUGAAUAGGGAAAAUGUAAAAUAUAUGUAUAUAUAUAUAUAGCGUGAGAUAUACGCAGUUAGUGAAAUCCUUGUCCUUGAGAAGGGGAAUCUGCGGGUUCAGAUAUAUUCUUGAGAGAGUAAGUAUUAUUUGUCAGCUUUGAUGCAUAUUUUUUCUUUCCCAUGUACUUUAUAUAUGCAUUUUGAUGCUGCUGUUAUGGACCACACCUUGUUUGUAAAAAUGGGGCAUUUGGCCCAAGGCAUAAAGGCUGAGGUCGGGCAUUUAAAGUUUUAAA